UCCUAUGGUCAGGCGCGUCGGGGGGCCGAAAGGCUCGCCGGUUCCCACGGUCACCGGUCUACCAAUCCGGCGUCGCCUGGCCACCCGU
RNAcentral lists this non-coding RNA (88 nucleotides) under Fulvimarina manganoxydans. Lineage: Bacteria; Pseudomonadati; Pseudomonadota; Alphaproteobacteria; Hyphomicrobiales; Aurantimonadaceae. The record is from RNAcentral.